Molecule: transfer RNA, 70 nt
Filed under: Streptococcus pneumoniae
Lineage: Bacteria; Bacillati; Bacillota; Bacilli; Lactobacillales; Streptococcaceae
Description: tRNA-Glu(ttc)
Rfam family: tRNA
About the family: Transfer RNA (tRNA) molecules are approximately 80 nucleotides in length. Their secondary structure includes four short double-helical elements and three loops (D, anti-codon, and T loops).
Source: RNAcentral
GGUCCGUUGGUCAAGGGGUUAAGACACCGCCUUUUCACGGCGGGGNNGGGUUCGAAUCCCGUACGGACUA